Molecule: unclassified non-coding RNA, 343 nt
Filed under: soil metagenome
Description: partial contains 5.8S ribosomal RNA, internal transcribed spacer 2, and large subunit ribosomal RNA
Rfam family: 5.8S ribosomal RNA (bases 1-120)
Source: RNAcentral
GAUGAAGAACGUAGCGAAAUGCGAUAAGUAAUGUGAAUUGCAGAAUUCAGUGAAUCAUCGAAUCUUUGAACGCACAUUGCGCCCGCUAGUAUUCUGGCGGGCAUGCCUGUCCGAGCGUCAUUUCAACCCUCAAGCCCCCGGGCUUGGUGUUGGGGAUCGGCGAGCCUCCGCGCCCGCCGUCCCCUAAAUCUAGUGGCGGUCUCGCUGUAGCUUCCUCUGCGUAGUAGCACACCUCGCACUGCGAAACAGCGCGGCCACGCCGUUAAACCCCCAACUUCUGAACGUUUGACCUCGGAUCAGGUAGGAAUACCCGCUGAACUUAAGCAUAUCAAUAAGCGGAGGA